ACAUCCAGAGAACUUGGCAGAGAUGCCUUGGCGCCUUCGGGACCUCUGAGACAGGUGCUGCAUGGCUGUCGUCAGCUCGUGUUGUGAAAUGUUGGGUUAAGUCCCGNAACGAGCGCAACCCCUAUCCUUUGUUGCCAGCGAUUCGGUCGGGAACUCAAAGGAGACUGCCGGUGAUAAACCGGAGGAAGGUGGGGAUGACGUCAAGUCAUCAUGGCCCUUACGAGUAGGGCUACACACGUGCUACAAUGGCGCAUACAAAGAGAAGCGACCUCGCGAGAGCAAGCGGACCUCAUAAAGUGCGUCGUAGUCCGGAUCGGAGUCUGCAACUCGACUCCGUGAAGUCGGAAUCGCUAGUAAUCGUAGAUCAGAAUGCUACGGUGAAUACGUUCCCGGGCCUUGUACACACCGCCCGUCACACCAUGGGAGUGGGUUGCAAAAGAAGUAGAUAGCUUAACCUUCGGGAGGGCGUUUACCACUUUGUGAUUCAUGACUGGGGUGAAGUCGUAACAAGGUAAGCGUAGCGAG
This 525-nucleotide ribosomal RNA is filed under the name uncultured bacterium. RNAcentral's name for it is "bacterial SSU rRNA". It matches the Rfam family "Bacterial small subunit ribosomal RNA", at positions 984 to 1509 of the family's 1533-position model. The record is from RNAcentral.